RNAcentral lists this ribosomal RNA (192 nucleotides) under Triticum aestivum (bread wheat). RNAcentral's name for it is "partial small subunit ribosomal RNA". The record is from RNAcentral. Lineage: Eukaryota; Viridiplantae; Streptophyta; Magnoliopsida; Poales; Poaceae.
AUGGAGGCGGCUCUUGUCAGCGUGGCGACGGGGGUCCUCAAACCUGUCAUAGGAAAGCUGACCGUUCUGCUCGGCAAUGAGUACAAGCGUUUCAAGACAGUUCGCAAGGAGAUCAAGUCACUCACUAAUGAGCUUGCCGCCAUGGAGGCUUUUCUUCUGAAGAUGUCAGAGGAGGAGGAUCCCGAUGUGUAG